GCCGUGCGGAGUCCGGGGCCAGAACUGCUCAUCGCUUUAUUUACUCCGGCUCGCUCGGAGCCAGCUAGGCGUGCGGGUGACCAAGAGGAAAACAAAUUCUCUCCGUAACCUUCACCAGGCGACGCGGCAGUUGAGCUGGGUGUGGUAUCUCUACGGUUUGCCUCUUCGGGACGGGGCCGUGCGUCACCUCCGGUGCCCCAGGCCCCGGUCCUCCGUGCCGCGCACCCGGAGAGUCGGACGCAGAGAACGCGAGGCAGCAACUUCCCGCUGCUCUCUGACUUGUUAGUGAACUUUCCCUCUCCUCCCCCGCUUCCUGAGACUCAGCCUUUCCCUCACCGUGUUUGCCCAAGCCGUUCUGCACAAUGAGACGGUAACAGUUGUCAGAUAAAGCACGUACUAUUUAGAACACA
Molecule: long non-coding RNA, 410 nt
Organism: Suricata suricatta (meerkat)
Lineage: Eukaryota; Metazoa; Chordata; Mammalia; Carnivora; Herpestidae
Exons: 2
Source: RefSeq, a predicted model, not a curated record